GAUGAAGAACGUAGCGAAAUGUGAUAAGUAGUGUGAAUUGCAGAAUUCAGUGAAUCAUCGAAUCUUUGAACGCACAUUGCGCCCCAUGGUAUUCCGUGGGGCAUGCCUGUUCGAGCGUCAUUUACCCCCUCAAGCUCCGCUUGGUGUUGGGCGUCUGUCCCGCUUCGCGCGCGGACUCGCCCCAAAGGUAUUGGCAGCGGUCGUGCCAGCUUCUCGCGCAGCACAUUGCGCUUCUCGAGGCACCGGUGGGCCCGCGUCCAUCAAGCUCACCCCCCCAGUUUGACCUCGGAUCAGGCAGGGAUACCCGCUGAACUUAAGCAUAUCAAUAAGCGGAGGA
Molecule: unclassified non-coding RNA, 337 nt
Filed under: soil metagenome
Description: partial contains 5.8S ribosomal RNA, internal transcribed spacer 2, and large subunit ribosomal RNA
Rfam family: 5.8S ribosomal RNA (bases 1-120)
Source: RNAcentral